GAUGAAGAACGUAGCGAAAUGCGAUAAGUAAUGUGAAUUGCAGAAUUCCGUGAAUCAUCGAAUCUUUGAACGCACAUUGCGCCCCCUGGCAUUCCGGGGGGCAUGCCUGUCCGAGCGUCAUUUCAGCCCUCCAGCCCGGCUGGGUGUUGGGCGCUGUCCCCCCGGGGACACGCCCCAAAGGCAGUGGCGGCGCCGCGUCGGGUCCUCGAGCGUAUGGGGCUUUGUCACCCGCUCGGGACGGACUCGUCGGCGCUGGUCUUCCUCCAGGCGACCCUUCGGGGCUCGUCUUCCUUCGGUUGACCUCGGAUCAGGUAGGGUUACCCGCUGAACUUAAGCAUAUCAAUAAGCGGAGGA
Molecule: unclassified non-coding RNA, 354 nt
Filed under: soil metagenome
Description: partial contains 5.8S ribosomal RNA, internal transcribed spacer 2, and large subunit ribosomal RNA
Rfam family: 5.8S ribosomal RNA (bases 1-120)
Source: RNAcentral